This 383-nucleotide unclassified non-coding RNA is filed under the name uncultured Eurotiomycetes. RNAcentral's name for it is "sequence contains ITS2". The stretch from base 1 to 154 matches the Rfam family "5.8S ribosomal RNA". Lineage: Eukaryota; Fungi; Ascomycota; Eurotiomycetes. The record is from RNAcentral.
AACUUUCGACAAUGGAUCACUUGGCUCUCCCAUCGAUGAAGAACGCAGCGAAAUGCGAUAAGUAAUGUGAAUUGCAGAAUUCCGUGAAUCAUCGAAUCUUUGAACGCAUAUUGCGCCCUCUGGCAUUCCGGGGGGCAUGCCUGUCCGAGCGUCAUUAUUUACCUUCAAGCACGGCUUGUGUGUUGAGCAUUCUGGUUCUUCCAGAGGCUUGAAAUGCAGUGGCGAUGCCAAGAUUUGGGUGCCCGAGCGUAUGGGGCUUUGUCGCACGCUCUGGUGGCUCCUGGCUUGCAUCCUGCCCCAACUUUUAUAUGAUUUUUCGUUUAAUUGACCUCGGAUCAGGUAGGAAUACCCGCUGAACUUAAGCAUAUCAAUAAGCGGAGGCU